This 258-nucleotide ribosomal RNA is filed under the name uncultured bacterium. RNAcentral describes it as "partial 16S ribosomal RNA". It matches the Rfam family "Bacterial small subunit ribosomal RNA", at positions 524 to 777 of the family's 1533-position model. The record is from RNAcentral.
GACAGAGGGUGCAAACGUUUGUUCGGAAUUACUGGGCGUAAAGCGCGUGUAGGCUGCUUCGCAAGUCGGAUGUGAAAGCCCUGGGCUCAACCCAGGAAGUGCAUUCGAAACUGCAGAGCUGGAGUCCUGGAGAGGAAGGCGGAAUUCUCGGUGUAGAGGUGAAAUUCGUAGAUAUCGAGAGGAACACCGGUGGCGAAGGCGGCCUUCUGGACAGUGACGUGACGCUGAGACGGCGAAAGCGUGGGGAAGCAAACAGGG